ACGAACCCGUGUCCCCUGCAUCAGCAGGCGGACUCUCAACCAUUGCACCACCAGGGAAGCCCCUUGUUGUUCUCUUAUUGUCACAUACUAGCCUAGCUAUGGAUUCACACCAGCCUAUAGCUAGUCACUUAUACAUAAGCUCUUGUCAGAGAUGUCCCAAUCUUAUUAUCAGCCUUUGUUCACUAAUCCACAGGGCUGGAGAGGUUACUGCUCGAUGAUGCCUGGCCUUCGUUGCGUGCCAAGCUCCCUGACUCUCACUGCAGCUUUAACAGCAAUGGCCAGAAGAGGGAGCUCCUGGAAAGCCAAAGGACCUGUCUAAUUGGUCUAAGUCAGAGGUCCCUGGAACCCUGGUGCUGGUCUGUGGCCUGUUAGGAACCAGGCUGCACAGCAGGGGGUGAGGGGCAGGCAAGCGAGUGAAGCUUCACCUGUAUUUACAGCCACUCCCCAUCAUUGGCAUUACUGCCUGAGCUCCGCCUCCUGUCAGCAUUAUGUUGGUUGUACCCACAGACGCAGAACCUGUGGAUACAGAACCCGCGGAUGCAGAACCCACAGAGCCUACUGUAUUGCAUUGCUGUCUGGUCGUGCUGAAAAUCAUUUGAACUAGUGCUACUGUAUAAAUUCCAAAUCACUACAUGCCUAAGGUGAGAAUUAGUAGGGCCUGAGGCUUUUUAGAAGUUAGUACCCCUCUUUCUGUUGGGGCAGGAGGGAGAAAUGAAAAGGGAAGAGACCUUCAGAAAAUGUUAUUUUAAAAAGAAU
This is a non-coding RNA of Kogia breviceps (pygmy sperm whale), 756 nucleotides long. NCBI's taxonomy places the organism in Eukaryota, Metazoa, Chordata, Mammalia, Artiodactyla, Physeteridae. The record is from RefSeq and is a predicted model, not a curated record.